UGGGGAAUUUUGCACAAUGGGGGAAACCCUGAUGCAGCGACGCCGCGUGAUUUAGAAGGCCUUCGGGUUGUAAAAAUCUUUUUUACGGGAUGAAAAUGACAGUACCGUAAGAAUAAGGUCCGGCUAAAUACGUGCCAGCAGCCGCGGUAAUACGUAUGGACCGAGCGUUGUCCGGAAUCAUUGGGCGUAAAGGGUACGUAGGCGGCCUAGUAAGUUAGAAGUGAAAUAAUAUAGCUCAACUAUAUAAAGCUUUUAAAACUGCUAGGCUUGAGAGAUGGAAGGGAAAGUGGAAUUCCUAGUGUAGCGGUGAGAUGCGCAGAUAUUAGGAGGAAUACCGGUGGCGAAGGCGACUUUCUGGUCAUCAUCUGACGAUGAGGUACGAAAGCGUGGGUAGCAAACAGG
This 402-nucleotide ribosomal RNA is filed under the name bacterium. RNAcentral describes it as "partial 16S ribosomal RNA". It matches the Rfam family "Bacterial small subunit ribosomal RNA", at positions 355 to 776 of the family's 1533-position model. The record is from RNAcentral.